UUUUAGGCUCUAUCACAAUAGAUGACUUCACCAGAAUCAAAUCAAAUGUUCUGUGUUUUACACUCAAUGUCAUCCUCACGCAAGAUUUUGGCCAGACACAGAACACUCCAGGUCCUGCUGAGCACUGCUGUGAUUUCAGUGGGACCCCGAGUCAAGGUAAGCAAGAAGACAGAAGCAUGGUCUCAGUAGUGAUCCAGGUGUUAACAGCAUCCAGAUGUGCCCUGACUCAAAAGCACUCCACAGAGCUCAUGGGAAGGAGAGUGGCAGUCAUUUGGCAUCCUGACUGUGAACAGCUGGGGGCACCUCUGCCUUGGGCAGAUUUGCAAAAUGUCAGCAGGAGAGGGACAGACAGAAGCUCUUGAUCAAUAAGAUGCAGGGCAACGAAAGGUAAAGCUAGGCCUAAAUGAAGUAUAUUUUCCCUUCAUCUUGGGUUCUGUUGUGCUUUGCAUUUUUGGAGUGAAUGAGAAGAAUUAUCAGCAGAGAUUCUCAAGCCUCACAUGGUGGAGCAGUGUCUCCUGUGAUCUGUGUUAUCUGGGGCGCUUUCAACAGACCUCUUGGGUGUAAAUGUGUGUCUAGCAAAUGACCCAGUACAGCUGGUAUGACAUUUUCCAUAUGAAACACCUUGAGAAGGACUCAUAAAGCAGAAGGUAAUGGCCACUUUUGGAUCAUGGAAAAGGCCCAGGGACAAGCAAACUCUUUCUCAAAGAAUAUUUCCAGUUCAUUUCAGUAAGCAAAGGUGUGACCCUGUGCAGCUUACAUGUAGCAGUCUCUUGUCAACAUAAAUAUGGACUUAUGUCCCUCUGACAUUUGACUGACAUUUAAUAUGAAGUUCUCCAGGAUGAUAUUUGUCUUUGUGUCUCCAGUUUAUAAUGUGCUUGCUUUUAAUGAUCUUUGUCUUUGUAUCUCCAGUUUAUAAUGUGCUUGCUUUUAAUGAUGUCCUAAUCAUACAUGAAACAUCAAAAUCCUGAUAUGCAGAUGCUACAAAAUAACUCUAAUUACUAUGAUGAAAUAUUAUAGUUUUUUACUUGAGUUGAACUAAACACUUCACGCUCAUUUUACUAAACAGUGUACAGUUUGUAGGAUUUCUCAAAUCUCAUUAUGUAAACUGCUUAUGAAAAUAACAAAGCAGCAGGGAAUUGCAGUAUAAUGACCUUCCUCCAGUUAAUGAGUAUUGUUAUUUGUUAAAAAUUGUGCUGGUUCAGUUAUUCUGUGGCUUUGUUCUUUGACCUUCCAUAUCAAGUAAGAAAUGCUCAAUUAAUUGAAAAAUAUGGAUAAUUCUGAAACCAAUAUAUAAGGCCAAUGAAUAAGAGGACGUACUUUUAUUUACGUACUAAUUCAGGUUUUAAUUACAGUUAGGCCUAGAUGCAUUAAUAUGCCCAAACACAAGCACAGGCACACAGCACACAAGUAUGCACUUUCACUGGGUUAACAUUUUAUCAGGUUUGGUUUUUUUCUUGAAGGUGUUGUGUCUGUAAGAUUUCUGUGUCCAACUACUUGAGACCUUCCAGUCAAUACCCAUUGCCUGCUGUCCCUGAAACCAUCAAAGUCUGACAUAAGGUGUUAUAGUAAUAAUUUUUGUAUUCUUUUUGCAAUAGCCUGCACUAAAAUGUUCUCAAAUAAAUAUGGAAGUUUUCAA
Passer domesticus (house sparrow) is the source of this 1636-nucleotide long non-coding RNA. RefSeq lists it as uncharacterized. The transcript has 3 exons. Lineage: Eukaryota; Metazoa; Chordata; Aves; Passeriformes; Passeridae. The record is from RefSeq and is a predicted model, not a curated record.